Molecule: long non-coding RNA, 630 nt
Filed under: Lepisosteus oculatus (spotted gar)
Lineage: Eukaryota; Metazoa; Chordata; Actinopteri; Semionotiformes; Lepisosteidae
Description: lncRNA (ENSLOCG00000021303.1)
Source: RNAcentral
UCUCUCUCUCUCUCACUCUCACACACACUCCCUCUUCCUCCCUCCCUCUUUCCAUCUCUAUUCUGAAUGCAGUGCAGCUCCUCCCUCCACCUUGCACUGUCCUCACCCCCCAUCUCUUCUCUCUCGUCUCAUCCGCACUGAUCUAUAGGUAUAGCCAGUGUGUGUGCUUGCAUUGACAUGUGAGCACAUUUUUGGAGGUAGAGGGCAACACUCAGCACUACUGAGUAUUCAGCACUAAAUCAGAACGGGGGGUUUGGAUGACUUAGUCACAUACCUUGCUCAGCCCCCACCCCUUUUUAAAAUCUUCUAGCUUUUUUUCCCUCCAAAUCUGUUCUCUUCAAUGGAAUCUUCAGUCUCUCUUCACCACUCAGAGGCAUUUGGAUUUAAUGUUUAGUGUGGCAGCAUGAAUUAAAAUUUGGAAAUCUCCAAGUAACGCUGGCAGACAGCACAUGGGUCGCACAGAGCAGGGAGGGAAUGUGGACUAAGGAAAGGGAGGCCCUCCAGUUACCCACCAUCUGCAACACACGCGGUAAAAGGCUUCCAAAUUGACAGGUUCGCUUUCAUUGUAUGUAAGUACAGUGCUCACAUUGUUCCCUCAGUCAAUUGCUUGGCUUCAGUCUCUGUUUAAGC